GGGUUGUGAGGUUAAGCGACUAAGCGUACACGGUGGAUGCCCUGGCAGUCAGAGGCGAUGAAGGACGUGCUAAUCUGCGAUAAGCGCCGGUAAGGUGAUAUGAACCGUUAUAACCGGCGAUUUCCGAAUGGGGAAACCCAGUGUGAUUCGUCACACUAUCAUUAACUGAAUCCAUAGGUUAAUGAGGCGAACCGGGGGAACUGAAACAUCUAAGUACCCCGAGGAAAAGAAAUCAACCGAGAUUCCCCCAGUAGCGGCGAGCGAACGGGGAGGAGCCCAGAGCCUGAAUCAGCAUGUGUGUUAGUGGAAGCGUCUGGAAAGGCGCGCGAUACAGGGUGACAGCCCCGUACACAAAAGCGCAUGUGCUGUGAGCUCGAUGAGUAGGGCGGGACACGUGGUAUCCUGUCUGAAUAUGGGGGGACCAUCCUCCAAGGCUAAAUACUCCUGACUGACCGAUAGUGAACCAGUACCGUGAGGGAAAGGCGAAAAGAACCCCGGCGAGGGGAGUGAAAAAGAACCUGAAACCGUGUACGUACAAGCAGUGGGAGCACAGGUUUACCUGUGUGACUGCGUACCUUUUGUAUAAUGGGUCAGCGACUUAUAUUCUGUAGCAAGGUUAACCGUAUAGGGGAGCCGGAGGGAAACCGAGUCUUAAUUGGGCGUUAAGUUGCAGGGUAUAGACCCGAAACCCGGUGAUCUAGCCAUGGGCAGGUUGAAGGUUGGGUAACACUAACUGGAGGACCGAACCGACUAAUGUUGAAAAAUUAGCGGAUGACCUGUGGCUGGGGGUGAAAGGCCAAUCAAACCGGGAGAUAGCUGGUUCUCCCCGAAAGCUAUUUAGGUAGCGCCUCGUGAAUUCAUCUCCGGGGGUAGAGCACUGUUUCGGCUAGGGGGCCAUCCCGGCUUACCAACCCGAUGCAAACUGCGAAUACCGGAGAAUGUUAUCACGGGAGACACACGGCGGGUGCUAACGUCCGUCGUGAAGAGGGAAACAACCCAGACCGCCAGCUAAGGUCCCAAAGUCAUGGUUAAGUGGGAAACGAUGUGGGAAGGCCCAGACAGCCAGGAUGUUGGCUUAGAAGCAGCCAUCAUUUAAAGAAAGCGUAAUAGCUCACUGGUCGAGUCGGCCUGCGCGGAAGAUGUAACGGGGCUAAACCAUGCACCGAAGCUGCGGCAGCGAACGUAUCACCCAAGACAACUUUACGGAGUUGACGAUUGACGGAGCGAAGCGACGUCAAAGCGUUCAUUAAAGUCGAGUUGGCUUAGGGAUACGUUCGUUGGGUAGGGGAGCGUUCUGUAAGCCUGUGAAGGUGUGUCGUGAGGCAUGCUGGAGGUAUCAGAAGUGCGAAUGCUGACAUAAGUAACGAUAAAGCGGGUGAAAAGCCCGCUCGCCGGAAGACCAAGGGUUCCUGUCCAACGUUAAUCGGGGCAGGGUGAGUCGACCCCUAAGGCGAGGCCGAAAGGCGUAGUCGAUGGGAAACGGGUUAAUAUUCCCGUACUUGGUGUUACUGCGAAGGGGGGACGGAGAAGGCUAUGUUGGCCGGGCGACGGUUGUCCCGGUUUAAGCGUGUAGGUGUGUGUUCCAGGUAAAUCCGGUUCACUUUAACACUGAGGCGUGACGACGAGGCACUACGGUGCUGAAGCAACAAAUGCCCUGCUUCCAGGAAAAGCCUCUAAGCAUCAGGUAACACGAAAUCGUACCCCAAACCGACACAGGUGGUCAGGUAGAGAAUACCAAGGCGCUUGAGAGAACUCGGGUGAAGGAACUAGGCAAAAUGGUGCCGUAACUUCGGGAGAAGGCACGCUGACACGUAGGUGAAGUGAUUUACUCAUGGAGCUGAAGUCAGUCGAAGAUACCAGCUGGCUGCAACUGUUUAUUAAAAACACAGCACUGUGCAAACACGAAAGUGGACGUAUACGGUGUGACGCCUGCCCGGUGCCGGAAGGUUAAUUGAUGGGGUCAGCGUAAGCGAAGCUCCUGAUCGAAGCCCCGGUAAACGGCGGCCGUAACUAUAACGGUCCUAAGGUAGCGAAAUUCCUUGUCGGGUAAGUUCCGACCUGCACGAAUGGCGUAAUGAUGGCCAGGCUGUCUCCACCCGAGACUCAGUGAAAUUGAACUCGCUGUGAAGAUGCAGUGUACCCGCGGCAAGACGGAAAGACCCCGUGAACCUUUACUAUAGCUUGACACUGAACAUUGAGCCUUGAUGUGUAGGAUAGGUGGGAGGCUUUGAAGUGUGGACGCCAGUCUGCAUGGAGCCGACCUUGAAAUACCACCCUUUAAUGUUUGAUGUUCUAACGUGGACCCGUAAUCCGGGUUGCGGACAGUGUCUGGUGGGUAGUUUGACUGGGGCGGUCUCCUCCUAAAGAGUAACGGAGGAGCACGAAGGUUGGCUAAUCCUGGUCGGACAUCAGGAGGUUAGUGCAAUGGCAUAAGCCAGCUUGACUGCGAGCGUGACGGCGCGAGCAGGUGCGAAAGCAGGUCAUAGUGAUCCGGUGGUUCUGAAUGGAAGGGCCAUCGCUCAACGGAUAAAAGGUACUCCGGGGAUAACAGGCUGAUACCGCCCAAGAGUUCAUAUCGACGGCGGUGUUUGGCACCUCGAUGUCGGCUCAUCACAUCCUGGGGCUGAAGUAGGUCCCAAGGGUAUGGCUGUUCGCCAUUUAAAGUGGUACGCGAGCUGGGUUUAGAACGUCGUGAGACAGUUCGGUCCCUAUCUGCCGUGGGCGCUGGAGAACUGAGGGGGGCUGCUCCUAGUACGAGAGGACCGGAGUGGACGCAUCACUGGUGUUCGGGUUGUCAUGCCAAUGGCACUGCCCGGUAGCUAAAUGCGGAAGAGAUAAGUGCUGAAAGCAUCUAAGCACGAAACUUGCCCCGAGAUGAGUUCUCCCUGAGACUUAGAGUCUCCUGAAGGAACGUUGAAGACGACGACGUUGAUAGGCCGGGUGUGUAAGCGCAGCGAUGCGUUGAGCUAACCGGUACUAAUGAACCGUGAGGCUUAACCUUACAACGCCGAAG
Molecule: ribosomal RNA, 3013 nt
Filed under: Salmonella enterica
Lineage: Bacteria; Pseudomonadati; Pseudomonadota; Gammaproteobacteria; Enterobacterales; Enterobacteriaceae
Also listed under: 4 other names
Description: bacterial LSU rRNA
Rfam family: Bacterial large subunit ribosomal RNA
Source: RNAcentral